RNAcentral lists this ribosomal RNA (492 nucleotides) under uncultured bacterium. Its description in RNAcentral is "partial 16S ribosomal RNA". It matches the Rfam family "Bacterial small subunit ribosomal RNA", at positions 29 to 507 of the family's 1533-position model. The record is from RNAcentral.
AGUGAACGCUGGCGGUAGGCCUAACACAUGCAAGUAGAACGGCAGCACAGUAAGAGCUUGCACUUACGGGUGGCGAGUGGCGGACGGGUGAGGAAUACAUCGGAAUCUACUUUUUCGUGGGGGAUAACGUAGGGAAACUUACGCUAAUACCGCAUACGACCUACGGGUGAAAGCAGGGGAUCUUCGGACCUUGCGCGAUUGAAUGAGCCGAUGUCGGAUUAGCUAGUUGGCGGGGUAAAGGCCCACCAAGGCGACGAUCCGUAGCUGGACUGAGAGGAUGAUCAGCCACACUGGAACUGAGACACGGUCCAGACUCCUACGGGAGGCAGCAGUGGGGAAUAUUGGACAAUGGGCGCAAGCCUGAUCCAGCCAUACCGCGUGGGUGAAGAAGGCCUUCGGGUUGUAAAGCCCUUUUGUUGGGAAAGAAAAGCAGCAGGUUAAUACCCCGCUGUUCUGACGGUACCCAAAGAAUAAGCACCGGCUAACUUCGUG